CCUUGUCUUGUCUGGUCUGUUGUGUUGGAUUCUUUGUUCUCCCGUGGACCUUGUUUGGAUUCUUGGAUUUUGGAUUUUGUCUGCUCACCUCUGCCUGUACAUGCCUGCAUUCCACCCCACAAUAAACACGGUAGUCAUCCGGCUACUUCACCCUGAGACCGCUUCCUCGUCAUCUGCUUUUGGGUCCACAUACCUCUACAUAGCACCCCGCUACGACAGGCGAGCUGCUCGGAGCACGAAGAAGAAAGUCAGGACUUUCAGCAGCAGCUGACAGGGAUGAGGGAUGAAGUGUGUGUGUGUGUGAAGGAUAAAAAGAUGGAAAUAUGAAGUAAGAAGAAGCAAGGGAAAACGAGAGGAGGGAGGAGGUGGUGAGGAAGAGUGUUAUCCAAAGGACAGAAAGAGGAAGUGGUGUAAAAGAAGAAAAACAGAGCGCGCAGAUGAAGAAAAGGGGAUGAGGAGGAGAGGAAUGGGAAGAGAAGAAGCAGGACAAUGAAGAGGAUGAUGAUGAGAUGAUGGUGUAGGAAAAGUUAGAAGUAAAGAGUUGGAUCAGAAGAUAAAGAUGGUGAUAAAAAGAAGAGGCAGAACCGGAAGAACAAACAGGUGGUUAGGAUCAAGAAAAAUGGAGAGCAAAAAGGAGAGAACUUUCUCUUGACAGCCGAAGACAGAUGGGUGAAAUAAUGGACGGAGACAGAAGAGAGCAGGAUGGAAGGACGGUGUGAGGAAGAAGCCUGUCAACACUUUCAGCCAACACCUCAUGACGAUGUGCAGCUUCAGCUGGCAGUUGGAUCAUGUCCUCAUACUGGAUGUAGAUAUACGCAAAAUAUGUUUUCAGAAAUACUCACAUCAAAUGGGUUUUUAUUCUUCACAUAAAACGAUACUUUCAAUUGAAUUUUAGCCUAAAAUGUUCAUUUAGUCAUGUCCAGUGUUGGGCAGUACUAGUUUUACUUCAUUCCUCAGCCGCGUGGGGGUGGUGUAGCUGUUUUCUGAAUCGAAUAGCUUUUCAGGAGCUCUUUUAUUGAUCAGGUAUUGUGGUAGCGUCCACACAAGCUAACGUUACAUUUACCCAAGCAUUUCGAGUAAACUUGAGCAUUUCUGAAGCUAAAGCGCAGCGGAGGGUCUGAAAUAAAACUGCUCACGAUCAGUAAGUGACGCCACCGUCCACACGGACGUGUAUGAGUAACCGACAGAAGCACUUCUGCAGGACGGCGACAUCGCGUACCAAUGUACGACGCCUCUGCUGCAGAAA
Molecule: long non-coding RNA, 1246 nt
Organism: Siniperca chuatsi (mandarin fish)
Lineage: Eukaryota; Metazoa; Chordata; Actinopteri; Centrarchiformes; Sinipercidae
Exons: 3
Source: RefSeq, a predicted model, not a curated record